CUACGGGCGGCAGCAGUGGGGAAUAUUGGACAAUGGGCGAAAGCCUGAUCCAGCCAUGCCGCGUGUGUGAAGAAGGCCUUCGGGUUGUAAAGCACUUUCAGUGGGGAAGAAAGCCUUGGGGCUAAUACCCUCGAGGAAGGACAUCACCCACAGAAGAAGCACCGGCUAACUCCGUGCCAGCAGCCGCGGUAAUACGGAGGGUGCGAGCGUUAAUCGGAAUUACUGGGCGUAAAGCGCGCGUAGGCGGUCUGAUAAGCCGGUUGUGAAAGCCCCGGGCUCAACCUGGGAACGGCAUCCGGAACUGUCAGGCUAGAGUGCAGGAGAGGAAGGUAGAAUUCCCGGUGUAGCAGUGAAAUGCGUAGAGAUCGGGAGGAAUACCAGUGGCGAAGGCGGCCUUCUGGACUGACACUGACGCUGAGGUGCGAAAGCGUGGGUAGCAAACAGGAUUAGAUACCCUGGUAGUC
RNAcentral lists this ribosomal RNA (464 nucleotides) under Vreelandella stevensii. RNAcentral describes it as "partial 16S ribosomal RNA". It matches the Rfam family "Bacterial small subunit ribosomal RNA", at positions 339 to 795 of the family's 1533-position model. The record is from RNAcentral. Lineage: Bacteria; Pseudomonadati; Pseudomonadota; Gammaproteobacteria; Oceanospirillales; Halomonadaceae.